CUUAUACUCUGAGCCCUGCUCGGUUUAGGCCUGUCUGCAGAAUCCGCACCAACCAGCACCAUGCCCAUGACACUGGGGUACUGGGACAUCCGCGGGCUCCUGACUAUGACAGAAGCCAGUGGCUGAAUGAAAAAUUCAAGCUGGGCCUGGACUUUCCCAAUCUGCCCUACUUGAUUGAUGGGGCUCACAAGAUCACCCAGAGCAACGCCAUCUUGUGCUACAUUGCCCGCAAGCACAAUCUGUGUGGGGAGACAGAAGAGGAGAAGAUUCGUGUGGACAUUUUGGAGAACCAGACCAUGGACAACCACAUGCAGCUGGGCAUGAUCUGCUACAAUCCAGAAUUUGAAAAGUGUAACGUUGGUUGGAGCUCGAGAAGGAAUCUGGAUACUGUGUGCCGGACCAGCCAAAGAAUCCUGUGUCAAAACCGAGAGAACGAAUAAGCCUUCAUCACCAUGGCACAUUUAUAUAAAAAGAAAGGGAGAGAUGUUGCGGGAAGUCAGGGACCCCGAAUGGAGGGACUGACUGGAGCCGCGGCAGAGGAACAUAAAUUGCAAAUAUUUCAUUUUAAUAUGGACAUUUAUCAGUUCCCAAAUUAUUACUUUUUACAUUUCUUACGCCUGUCUUACUUUAAUCUCUUAAUCCUGUUAUCUUCAUAAGCUGAGGAUAUAUGUCAUCUCAGGACCACUGUGAUAAUUGUGUUAACUGUACAGAUUGAUUGUAAAACAUGUGUGUUUGAACAAUAUGAAAUCAGUGCACCUUGAAGAAGAACAGAAUAACAGUGAUUUUUAGGGAACAAGAGAAGACAACCAUAAGGUCUGACUGCGUGCAGGGUCAGGCAAAAUAGAGCCAUAUUUUUCUUCUUGCAGGGAGCCUAUAAAUAGACAUGGAAGUAGGGAAGAUAUU
This 903-nucleotide small RNA is filed under the name Pan troglodytes (chimpanzee). RNAcentral describes it as "processed transcript". Lineage: Eukaryota; Metazoa; Chordata; Mammalia; Primates; Hominidae. The record is from RNAcentral.